Gnomoniopsis sp. IMI 355080 is the source of this 139-nucleotide non-coding RNA. Lineage: Eukaryota; Fungi; Ascomycota; Sordariomycetes; Diaporthales; Gnomoniaceae. The record is from the annotation of a GenBank genome assembly.
ACCGAUAUGGUGCAGUGGUGAGUUUUUCUUCUCCUUAUUCGUUGCCUGUGACCUGAACUAACAGCUUUAUAGGUUAGCAUAUUGGAUUUUCAGAGUUUGGAAACCUCCAAAGACAGGAGUUCAAACCUCCUUAUCGGUG